This is a long non-coding RNA of Cercocebus atys (sooty mangabey), 6023 nucleotides long. RefSeq lists it as uncharacterized. The transcript has 2 exons. NCBI's taxonomy places the organism in Eukaryota, Metazoa, Chordata, Mammalia, Primates, Cercopithecidae. The record is from RefSeq and is a predicted model, not a curated record.
UAGAAAGGUAGGUCUCAGCGAGUUUGGGAAAUGCCUCUAUGUCCUGCAAAGCACGCUGGACUCUGCCUCUGGGCUCGCAUUGCUCGACCGCAGUGUGCUGACUCACUGAGAGCAGCUGGGCAGUGUGGCACAAGUGAGGUGCUGCUGGUUAGGACUCCUCCAGCUGCUUCCUGCAGUGCCCCUGCCGGGCCCAUGCAGUCCCCUAGUCCCCUUAAGCAGGGAUUAGGGGCCGUGAGCACUCUGGGAAGGGUGCUGCCCUCUGAGUGAGAUCUGCCCCAUACCGCAGGGGGACAAAGGCUCAGGGGCUAUGCUUGAUAACAGGUUGUUAAUUUUUUCUCCCACAGAAGACUCUGUUGGGAGGGAUCUGUGCUUCAGAAAGAUACCCUCUCUAGGAAGCUGGGAGAGGGUUGGAGUAGCGGAAAGUAGAGGCAGGGAGACCAGUUAGUAGCUGGAACAACCAUCCCCGGGGCUUGAUGAAGGGGAUCUAGGCUAAGGCAGUGGAGACGGAGGGAAAAUGCACAUUUAACAUGCUUCAGAAAGCAGAUGCAACAGCACUGAGAAGUUGGAAGAAGCUGUGAAGCAUUGACACGGUGAGGGCUCAGACCACCCCUCAAACAAGCUGGAGAACAGAGAGGGCGGUGGGAGCGGGUGGCAUCACAUCAACCCACUAUCAGCAGUGCCCAUGUUCAUGAUCUUUUCUGCCCCUUACCAAAGUCACUGUGACUUUCCUCCGGGCCCUCUACACCACACAUUCAUGUUACAUGAGGCUUCCCAGAAAUAUACCCUCUUCUUCCCAAGUGCACCCUCUUCCUGCCCCCAUUACUUCCUCCUCUCCUCAACCAUGAAAUGAGGGCAUGAUAGCAGGGAAGAGAGGUACCCUAGGGCAGGAGAGCCUCUCAUGGCCCCAUUAUCCCUUCCCCUCCACUCUCCAUGUCCAUGACUGGCUCAAAAUUUCUCUAUGCACUCUGGGCUGCAUGUACAUAGCCUAUGUCUCUAAAUAAGUCCAAAAAAAAGUCCACCCUCAUGAUGGGCAAUGGGCCCUAUCCAUUAGAAACAAGCCGCUCUGUAGGGGGUUCAGCUCCAUGGCUCUUGCUUCAGGGUGGUAUGAAUAAAACACGGCACAUGGAAAUCAUGUCACCAGACUCUCCCAGCUCAGAGAUUCCUGGAAGCGAGUUCAGAGUCCACACAGCCCCAUCUCUGUGUCUACACCAUUAUUAGCCAAGCUUUCUCGUGGGGUUGCUAAGAAUUGACAGAAAGUUCGGAAUAUUGGCCAUGUGUGACUUUAAUCAUACGUCUGCAAUAAAAUGAAGCUCUUUCCCUGAGAGCAAGGAGGCAGCUAGGCAGUAGCAGAAAGACAGAGUUCAGAGUUACGGUCUAGAGCAGUCCAACACAAACACAGCCUUCUCGGAGCCUUACUGCAGAGCGUUUUUGUUGCGGGAACGGACACUCAAGCCACACAUCUGGUAAAUGAUUCCCGAAGACGAGAUGGGGUUGGGAAAGAGAAGAUAAAAAGCAGGCUGCACAUGUGUUAGCCAAGCGUGGCAUGACUCAGCGAUCACCCUGGCUUCUCAGAAAGAAGAGGCCGGUUCAUCCCCUUGACUCAGCAUUCCUCACUUCUCAGCAGCCUCAGCCUGCAGUCACCCAGGGACCUCAGCCACAGAGCAGGGCAGCACACCGUGUACUCUCAGACCCUGUCCUCAGAUGCCGUCCUCCAUCAGACUUGAGGCCCCGCCUGGCUGGCAGAGAGGCCACAGCCCUACAAGGGAGGGUCUCCUACUCCAAAAAGGAACAGAGCACUCUUUAAGGAGCGUGUCUGCAACACAGCAGUGCCCCCACCCUGGCCAGAUACCUGGACACCUGAACCAGCUCCUCCUGGAGAUCUGGGCCCCUUCCCUCUGGACAGCUGAACAGAAGUGAAGCUAACACAUCACCAAUUCUCAAGCUUAGAUUCUGCAGCUUGGUGCCCGACAUUGCAAGAGCAGAGUCCCCAUGCUGUAGGGGUGACCAGCAUGGGCCCUGUGUGGCAGGAAGGUGAGUCCUCUGGCAGGGGAGGCAGGUGCUGGAAGCCAAGUAGGGGACAGGGACAAAUGAAACCACCUCAGCUUGGGUCCUGCAGCUCAUGGCACUUGCAGGGUGUCCCUGAGCCAUACAGAAGCAGGAGACCACCCACAGUUUGUCCAUGGGUCAUAGUUUGCUGACCGUAGAUGUAGCAAAAGAGACCUAAACGUGACCCCAGUGUGGUUGAGGGGAGUGACCAGUGAGCACACCCGUGCCAGUGUUCUCUAGAGCAUAACCCAUUAAGGGAUUACAAAAGCACAUCAGUGGCUCACCACCAGCAUCUUUUUAAUGAAACAAAGAGAAUGGACUCUCUCUAGGUUUUUUAUGGCGUUCAUUUGGAUAAGGAUCUAUGCUCUGGGUGCCAUGUCAAAUGCGCUUCUUACUGAGGACUGGGUGCUAGGCACACUUUUUGGCUUCUGUAUCCCUCAAAAGAGUUGUUUUCAUCUAUUUUUCAAACAUUAGUGGGGCAUCUGCCGUGAAAGUUUAAAAAUAAGCUCCUUGAGGGACAGGGUCAAGUCCCAGCCUUCCACUAACUCUGAAACCUACCGCCUUGGCACAUGGGCAGGAAGUGAAGGGAGGACAAGGGAGUUUGCUGGCGUCUGAGAAUGUAUAUUCCUAGGAGGACCUUGGAGAAGUGAAGAUCUUUGGUAGUACCUCUGGAGGCAUCUCACACUUACCAUUCAACCACAACAUCUUAGAGGCCUCAGGUCUGGCAGUUUCCAGACUGUGCUCCGAGGAGCCCCUGGGUUCCUCAAUGUGCUUCAGGGGUGCCCAGGGAAAGAGGUUCUUGCCUUCCUUUUCUAACUUCAACCAGAGCAGCUUUGCACUUUUUUAUAUAGGUUUUAAGGUGACAUGUAAAUUUCUUUUGUCCCAAGGGCUCCAAUUCCAGAGCAUCGAACAACCAGAAGGCCUGAAAACUCUAUUUUAUUCAACUAAUUUAAACCUAGGAAAACCUGAAAUACCCAAGGAAAGUCAGCAGUGGAGAGGGAGACUGGCCCUCAGACCUCGGCUCCCCACCCUGUUCAGCCGUCCUUCCUCCACACUCCGCUGCAGCCCUGCUGAGUCCAGUUCUGCUCUGGGAGCAAUUCCCAGUGGACACGUGGCAGUCCAACAAGACAGUGUUAUAGCAGCAGGCUCCAAAUCAGACGAAAAGCAGAAGACAACACACACUGUUUUAAAUAUCAUAGAGAGAACAUCCCCGGAGUUGUUUAUCAUGAUUCAGACAUGGACAAGCUUUGGGAUCUUGGACAAGUCACUUCACAUCUCUGGACUUUGUUUCUGCAGUCCUCUCUGGCCCUCUGUUCUGAGUCUCCAUGGAUAGAACUGAUCAUCACUAGAGAGAAAGGAGAGCCACAAACCUAAUCUCCCAGGUGACAAUUAUUAACUCUACCAGUGUGACAUGCCUUCUGGGGAGCGGUGGCAGCGGCCACCUGCAGUCCAUCUCCACAGCAGGAUGAAGUUUCCUGGAGAAGCCAUGGAGGUGAAGAGAGGACUCAGGCUGCUAACUCAGCCCAGUCCUGCACAAACACAGGGUAACUGCACCUGGGAUUGAAAGCGUUAAUUUAGAAUUUUGUUGUCCUAGGUGUUCCAGCAACUCUGUGGUUCUCUAUUAGAGUUGAAGAGACUGAGGCUCUGAGAGGUUGCAUGAUUGUACAAAGGGCGUAAAGGUGCAAUGAGAGGGGACAGAGAGAGAGAGAGAAAGAGAGCAUAUUUGAGGUUUGAGACCCUCGAGGUGGAAGGAGAUGUCAGUUAUAACUUGUUGACUGUCUCCUGCAACAAGAACUUUACAUACUUUAUCUCAUACUUAAAUCCUCACAAUAACCAUGCAACAUAGGUGUCAAAAACCCAUGUUACAGAAGAGGAAAAUGAAGUUGAGACAGGUUAGAGUGAUUCCAGGCACACAACUAUUGGAUGACAGCACCGGUCUUCUCACUUGCUUUUUCUGAUUCCCAAAUCUUUGAUCUUCCCACUCUCUUGGGAUGCCUCAAGGCUGUGUAGACACAUGGCCAGAAUAUUCCUCCACUCAAUGUUGUGUAACCACAGGACAGAGAAGAAGACAGUGGCCUUCAACACUUGACAUGAAACUGUGGCAUGAGAAGAGCCAGUGAUCAAGCCAAUCUUGGUCAGAACGUCAUUACCUCUGGUGAGAGAGCCACUAUCUAAGCACCUCUGGUCACCCUAUCCUGUGCCUUGUCAUCAGGUACACUAUAUCUGGGAGAGUCUGGAAUCCUCAUAAGGAAAGGAUGGAGGUAGGGCUGUGAUAGGAAGCCCCUCUCCCUCCCUAGCUCUUUGCCUCAAUUAGCUUAAAGAUACAAAUAGCCUUACAUAGUCUCACAAAGUCUUUCUACGAGUUGCGAAAUUGCGUUGUUUCCUACGGAACUGUAACAUUUUAUGAAUAAGGUUAUUUAUGAGUGGUUCCACCCUAGUGGGUAAAAGAUAGGUUACAGAAUGAAAAUUCCCUUUACCUCUCAACCUUUGAUCUUCAUAGUCAAAAUCGGGUAACAACAAUAAUCUCCACACAGGUGGGCAUGAGGAUGCAAUGAAGUGAUGUGUCUGGAUCAUAGAGGUCCCUGUACCAACGUGAUACUGUUUUAUGCCUGCAGGCAGCUCCAGUCAUCCAAUUAAGCUGACAGGGGCAUCCCUCCUUGCUUGAUGGAGCGGUGAGGACCAGGGUCCCGCUAAUCCUAUGGGUAUUCUCUCAUGUAUCCUUGCAGCAAUCCUAUUUACAUACUAACCCCAUUUACACACAGGGAACGGAAAGUUUGUGAAGUGAAUUAAAUGGAGGGCAGGUGGACUCUGCGCUGUCAGGAAAAGCUCCCAAUCUUGCAAUUACAGCUAGAAGAACCCUGAGAGCAGGGUAUGCACACACCGCCACCUCGGCAGGCCUGGAACACGCUCCUGGUGCCACACUUGGGCCAGUGAGGUACACUGAGGGUCCCUAGCCUGACAUCCAGCCAGUAUUUAACUCCAAGGAGAGGGAAGCCACAGGGAAGGAUGGGGCCAAGAAAGAAGACACUGGACCUGUUGUGGAAAACUCCACAGACUCGGAAUGAAAUUCUGGCUUUGGUUAUUUUCUGGCGAUCCUCAUGCACAAGGAAUUGGGAAGCCGCUGCCAGCUAGAAGGUGGGGAGCCCCACAUCACAGUUCUUAACCCACCUGUUUACAAAUAGGCGUUCACGUGUAUGCAAAGCCAAAAGCGGCCUCCCACCCACCUUCCAGUAAUUGCUCUGUGACCCACAGAGAGGGAAGGCAAGGAAGCAAACUUCAAAGGGCCUUUGAAAAAGAACACUGACCACAUGCAUUUGAAAAGAGGUCAAUGUGGAUUUGACAAAAGGCCAAAGGACACUUGAAAACACAGGGAGUGACUAUUCGUUCCAAAACACACAGGGGAGUGUGCCCCGAGGAUCUGUGGGGGUUCAUGAAGUCUGUCCAGGAGAACUGUAGGAUCCUUGUGCUUAGGCGAGUUUCAGUUUUAGGGUGUGCCAAUGCAGAGUUCUGUUGAUUACGGAGGGCCCAGCUUCCUAAGGAGGAUGUGAAAAUUAACUCGAAACUGAAGCUGUGCCCAAAGGUGCCUGAGGUUGUGACAGUCAGAGUUGCCAGCAUUCUAGUUGGGCUCCCAUUAGCAUGUGACAUCAGACAAGCAAUUGAGGCAGCACGCCAGCCUCUCUACCUACAGACGGGAGCCCCUGCACCUCUCAAAGUCAGAUGACACACAUGGGAUCAUUUCAAGCCUUUCAAUACUUUCAAGGUCAUAUUAUUCAUUUUCCCCCAAUAGCUUUUUUUCCUCGUCUUUAAGGAAAGUCUCAUGAAAAGGGGAAUUUAAAUUCACACAAAAUGAGGGGGCUCUUGGUCAGCUCCUCUUGAGAAACUGAUGACUCGUUUCAGUUCUCAAGGGGCUUUCCUAUUGUGGGAGGUGUCCCCAGUGAAUCCACGCCUUCAUUUCUGAAAAGGAAAAAAAAAAAAAA